ACAAACUCAAGUCAAGCAUCUUAUGUUGUACAGUGAUGUAGAAUGUUGUAUUCCGUGACAUAAAUGUGAUGGCUUGUGAUGUUGAUGUGUCGCCUUUCAUGAUCACAAGCAUGAAUAAGCUCAAGUCAAGCAUCUUAUGUUGUACAGUGAUGUAGAAUGUUGUAUUCCGUGACAUAAAUGUGAUGGCUUGUGAUGCUGAUGUGUCACCUUUCAUGAUCACAAGCAUGAAUAAGCUCAAGUCAAGCAUCUUAUGUUGUACAGUGAUGUAGAAUGUUGUAUCCCGUCACUUAAAUGUGAUGGCUUGUGAUGUUGAUGUGCCACCUUUCAUUAUCACAAACAUGAACAAACUCAAAUCAAGCAUCUUAUGUUGUACAGUGUUAGUAGAAUGUUAUAUCCCGUGACUUAUAUGUGAUCACUUGUCAUAUGUAGUUGGUGUUUACUUAAAUGUCUUAGAUAUGUGUUAUAUCCUGUAACUUAUGAAAGUAGCCAGCACUGUGAUAUCCAUGGACAUUCUACAACACUGCUAUGUGAAUUUGAAGGCCACCUUUAAAAUAAUAUCCAAAAAGGUAUUUGAUAUAUAAUCACAAGUUUUAACCCUAUAUUUCAUAUGCAUAUGUUCAUACUCAUUGCUUAAUGAGUUUUCAUAGAAUGCAUAAUUCAAGUGUAAGGGAAACAAUUACCGAUUACCUCCCUUAGACUACUGCGAGUGUAUUCAUGCGGUUAAAGGAACCUGUAAAACUCUUAAACCUGUUGUAUACUUUAGAAUAGUAACAUAGUUACCAUUAUUUUGCUCAUUAAUAUUAGUUUUUAAACCGUGCUAUAAUCAGUGGAUCUUAUCUUAUAGAUUUCAAAGUAAUGAAUCUGGUAAGAAACAUUUCAUAAAAAUGUCACUUGGUUUAAAGGGCAUAUUAAAAAAUUAAGACUUAUUGUGCAGUUUAAGAAUUUUUUAGUUUAACAAAUUGCCUGCAUGUUAUAAAUGUACCUACCAUGGUGGCCAUUGCAGGUCUGCCCUUUACGGGUGUCCUAUUAUAGUCCAUGAAACGACUGUUAAAGUAUGCAAGAGCUUCGGGUUCUUUGUCAGGUCACACCGACGUGGGGUACGACGCUAUGCAGUCUCUCACCUUGGAAUAACCCUGUUAAAGUGAGCCGCACAUGUUCAGCUAUAUAGAACAUGUCCUUGUCUGGAGUCUCGUUGCUCUCGUACUUAUAGUAGUGUGGACGCUCAGAGGGAUACAAAAUCUGAUCACCCCAUCUAUUCAUGAUCAUUAUCUAGAUAUCACUUCUACCCAUAGUAGCAACAGCUUUGUAUACUUUGUUUCAUAAGCUUUCCAGAACCGUAUCCAGAUGUCUGAAUUUCAAAUCUAUUUUGAUUUUCAAACCCAGUGGAAUCUUUUUCAGUUUUAUAUCGAGACUGGCUAUUUUCUGGCGUAGACUUUAUACAGAAACUCACCGUGAUAUUACUGAAAGCGUCACACCAAACUCACUCAUGAUAAAACCUUGGUAGUAAUAAACUAUAUUGACUUAAUAAGAGAUAUUGUUGAUGUGACACAAAUGAAGAAACAGACAAAUAUAUUUUAUAUCUUAUGUAAUAUAACUCUCUGUAAAUAGAUAGAUUGUCUAAACUUAAAAUGACCUACUAGUCACUGUGACAUAGUUUAGUAUGUUGUUAUUGUAUAACAGUUGUUUACUAGCGAUUUUGAACAGCUCGCUUCUGAAUGAUAAGUAUCAUACUAUGAAUGUAGAAUGUGACAGUAAAGUGACAGUAAAGUUUUACAUGUGCUAAUACGUUAUGCAAAUUAUAUACCAACCUGAUAAUUGACAACUUGACGACAAUUUGUGUUUAAUGAACUUAGUGCAACUUCAAAACAAAACACCUAGUUGUAAAACACGUCCUAAUUGUAUGUAUGCCAUUUAAUUAUUUCAUUUAGUAAGUUAAUCCACGUAUUUAUUUAGAAAAACUUACUUUAUGUGGAUUUUACCUAUGUGUAGUAUUGUGAUAUAUGCAAAAACACAAUUUAUAUAAUUUCAUAUAAUAUAUGUUGUUUUGUACUUCUUCAAAAUGUCAAAUGUCAUUUCAUAUAAAUGUUCAUAUAUUAAAUUCAGCUAUGAGGGGUAUUUGCAAAUACUAGUGAAUUGUAUAAGUGUUGUUUUUCUUCAGGAAAAGCUUUGUCAAAUUAAUCAAAAUUUUGUAUAAUCAUGUUCGAGUCAUUUGUCAUGUGCAGGGUGAAUCCUAUAAACCGUUAUGUGUAACCGUCUACAAGUCAACAACCCACAGCGAUACACCACGUCAUAAAACAUAUUCUGCUGUUAUGCAUACUGAGAAGUUAUAAGUUUCGGUGUCCUCCCAUUUGUCAGAACUCCCAGUUGUGAGACACACAAAUGGGAGUAGACCAUAAGUUUCUAUUUCCUUCCAUCUGUACUUGUUACCUUUUUUUAUAAUUAUCAGGCGGAUAAACACCUUGUUUAUUUAUUCAACCAAUUGUUGAAAUACUUGUUAAUGCAUUGUUAUUUGGCACGAUGUUAUUAACCAAAGGCAUGUAGCAGUUUAUCCAUGAUUUUAACAAAUAAUUUAGGGGCUGAAACCAUUUCAUGUAAUGACAAAUAUGCACUAUGAAAUGUUCCUGUUUAGAAAGUACAUUGUCACAAAUUAUUUUCCAACUUAGUUUACACCAAUCAGAGACCCGAUCGAGGUGAUUCUAUGUUCUAUAUUAGGGCCUUGGUCUGUUAUAUCAUGUCAUACAUGCCAUGCAGGUCGCAUGACAAUAUUACUCAUGAUAUUCUUUAUGAUGUUGUUUCCAAAGAAACAAAGAGGUACAACAUAAAUCUUCUUUUUUUGAUCACUUUAUUUCUUUUUGAAAGGUACAGGGUAUUACAUGUUUAUAGACAUAAUCAAGUGAAUAAUUAGAGAUACAUGUACAUAUAAUAUAAUAACAAAGGGCUGGAAUUUAUGGAUGUCAGUUUCUUUAUUUGAGGAACACGAUGGAUCGGAGUAUAUUCUUACUCCUUCAUCAGGUGAAUGAACUAACUAGGAGUGAGUGAGUGAGUUAUUAUUUAACGUCAGAAAUAACUAGGAAGCAGAUAGCUGUAUAAGUACCUGUGUUGCAACAACCGUGAUAAGAUACAACGGGAAACCAGUAGUUACUUGGCGCUGAUUUGUAAUGGCAAUGAACAAAUAGAGGCCAGGAAUUAAUCCAGGCAUAUACAGUCAUAUAGAUAACAAUCCGUUCAAAGGCUGUAUAGACUUGCUAGUGUAAUAUUGCUGAUAUCAUAUAGCAUGUAUAUUGUGAUAUCCACACGUGGAUGGUUAAUGGAACUAUUGCGUUUGUAUCUUGUAAUUGGGUAUAUACACAUAUAAAGUCUUUACCAUCUAAGUCCGUGGAUCUUGAUCUUAAAUUGUUUACAUUUGUUUUGACUAUUUUGUUUACAUUUUUCUGUUUUUAAGGGCGUUUACCGUUUUCAGUCUAUUUUUAUAUGAUACACUCUGGAUAUAUUUACUGCCUAGUUCGUGUUCGACAUAAUGUAAGGGUAUAUCUGCUUUCCGUCCCUCUUGAUAUAUGUAAUAUUUACAUUAUCACUAUGUCAAACAUGUAAGAUUAUCUUUAAUAAGUUUAUUGUUUGAAGUUCUAAAAGUUGAGGAUAAUCAACUUCUUUAUUCUGUACAGGCGACGUUUCAACAUGGAUUCUACCGCUUGCUUGAUAACGACAUUAGAAUCUAUGUUGAAACGUCGCCUAUACAGAAUAAGAAAGUUGUAUAUCCAUAAAAUUUUGUCCUCGUUCUUCAAGUAAAUUGUUAUUUCAAGUUUAUUCUGAACGGGGCAUAAAAGAAUAUGUCCAAUAGACGACCGCCACAUAACUAUCAAUAAGAGAGCAUAACUAUGCGGAAAGCUUGAUGGACACGCAGUGCAGUUUUCCUCAAGAUAUAUUCUAUUCUUUUGUAUGGGGAAAACGAUCUGAUCACACAUAGUUCAUGCAUGUUUUAUAGAUUGUUAUGUUGGGACAGCAACGCCAGUGAUAGCUUGUUGUAACAGUUAAGUAGGUGAGAAUAUGUACUUUCAGGUGUUCGAUAUUGUACAACCCUAUUUCCGUCCCAUUUUUAAUAAUCUUUAUUGUUUAACAAAUAUUAUAAUAUUUAUAAUAUCUGUGUUACACUAAUUUGAUGUUUUUUUUAAACUAAUGCCUGUCCGUCCCAUUUAUAAUAAUAUUAAUGUUUAGCAAAUAUUAUAUUUAUAAUAUGUCUUACUAAAUUGAUGUUUAUUUAACUAACGCCUGUCCGUCCCAUUUAUAUCAAUAUUGCAUUGUUUAGCAAAUAUUAUAAUAUAAUAAAUAUCUAUAAUAUGUCUUAUUUGAUGUGUUUUUAACUAAUAUCUUCUGGUCCAAAGUCCUCUCUGGGAUUUUGUAUCUACUACCCUAUUCGCUAGUAGUGUGUCGUCAAUCUCUCUCCCUUUUCUCUCCUUUCUACCUCUGCAUUUCUCUCAACUCUCCCUCUCACUCACUCUCUUGCUCCUGUGUAUGUCCUCUCUGUCUUUUACUGUCUGUAUGUCCCUCACCCACCUCUCCUCUCUAGCACUGCCUCUGUAUGCGUCUCCCAAUCCCUCCUCUCUCUCUGUCUCUCUCCUCUGCGUGUGUAUCUGUGAGUGUAUCUGUGUGUGUAUCUGUGUGUUUCUCCCUGACCUGCUGAUCAAUCUGUCCAACGGUUCAAUUUAAGAUGCCAUAUAUAUUAUACAUAUGCUCGUAUUACGGAAACAUUAAGAAACAUCCAUUGCCUCCUCGCUAAUCUCAUUAAUAUUUGUAAAAACAAGAACUUCUGAAAGACAACGUUAUUUAAAAGCAGGUCAUCAUCUAUUUCUGUAUGGAGCAAUAAACCUCCCCAUUGCGUCCGAAACAUAUAAUCCGACUGUUUACCACUGUUAUGCUGGUUGACUUCAAGCUCAUUCCAGAUUCUCAUUAUAAUCUUUGUACACAAAUAUUGUUUAUUAGAAUAAACUCUGUUCCUUA
Molecule: long non-coding RNA, 4995 nt
Filed under: Haliotis rubra (blacklip abalone)
Lineage: Eukaryota; Metazoa; Mollusca; Gastropoda; Lepetellida; Haliotidae
Description: uncharacterized LOC124261465
Source: RNAcentral